Molecule: long non-coding RNA, 572 nt
Filed under: Coturnix japonica (Japanese quail)
Lineage: Eukaryota; Metazoa; Chordata; Aves; Galliformes; Phasianidae
Description: lncRNA (ENSCJPG00005009867.1)
Source: RNAcentral
CAGGUCUUUAAAACAUUAAAAAUAUAUAUCCUAACUACUCCAUAUUCCUUUGCCAUGUUAAAGAACGGAGUUAUAAUGCACUAUAAUGUCAGCACUUUAGAGAAAGCAGACACAUAGUAUUACUAAUUUUGCCAGAAUUUUACCAUUCUCUUUAAAAGAGACUACUCCAAAAUCUACCAGCCAACGGCCAAAGUGAAGUAUCAGAAGACAGAAGGGCCUAGGAAAGGAACAAACUGUUUGUAAAAACUAAAUCCACUAAUAUACAUCUGAACAAUGCGUUGCUAAAGACAAUAAAGGAACUCUGCGAACAUUGAAGGGAAGAAGCGUGUGAUAAAGAGGCAAUGGGAGAAAAAGGUAUAUUUUCCUAAUCUGCAGACCAGAAAGCUGCAAAUUCUUCCAGUGAACACCAGGCACCCCUCUGAGCCUCAGCCACAAGAAUCUGUAAAAUAAAUGCUAUAUACUGAGCUCCUUGUGCAGUUUCUAUUUCAACCUUCAUAUGAAAAUAACAUAGAAGGAUAGGUCUGCGGAUGUUCAUUUUAGUAACAUGAGUGAAAAUUGGAGUGGGAACAGUA